Molecule: ribosomal RNA, 455 nt
Filed under: Metarhizium anisopliae
Lineage: Eukaryota; Fungi; Ascomycota; Sordariomycetes; Hypocreales; Clavicipitaceae
Description: eukaryotic LSU rRNA
Rfam family: 5.8S ribosomal RNA (bases 76-229)
Source: RNAcentral
CUUCACGCCCGGGGGGACCCGAACCUUCUGAAUUUUAUAAUAAGUAUCUUCUGAGUGGUUAAAAAAAUGAAUCAAAACUUUCAACAACGGAUCUCUUGGUUCUGGCAUCGAUGAAGAACGCAGCGAAAUGCGAUAAGUAAUGUGAAUUGCAGAAUUCAGUGAAUCAUCGAAUCUUUGAACGCACAUUGCGCCCGUCAGUAUUCUGGCGGGCAUGCCUGUUCGAGCGUCAUUACGCCCCUCAAGUCCCCUGUGGACUUGGGGUUGGGGAACGGCGAGGCUGGUUACAAGCACAGAUGACCCUUAAAAUAAUUGGCGGUCUCACCGGGCCCUCCUCAGCAAAGAGUAAAAAACGCGCACACGACGCGGCGCGGCCACUGCCGAAAUAACCCCCAACUUUUAAUAUUGACCGCUAGGCAAGAGGGAUACCCGCUGAAGAAAAAAAGCAAUAAACGGAG